GCCUUCGCCAGCGUGGUGGACAUCAAACUGCUCCUGCGCAUCUGGGACCUGUUUUUCUACGAGGGCUCCCGGGUGCUGUUCCAGCUCACGCUGGGCAUGCUGCACCUCAAGGAGGAAGAGCUGAUCCAGUCAGAGAACUCGGCCUCCAUCUUCAACACACUAUCGGAUAUCCCGUCGCAGAUAGAGGAUGCGGAGCUGCUUCUGGGGGUGGCCAUGCGGCUGGCCGGCUCCCUCACCGAUGUGGCCGUGGAGACUCAGCGCCGCAAGCACCUGGCCUAUCUCAUUGCAGACCAGGGCCAGCUCCUGGGGGCCGGCACCCUCACCAACCUCUCUCAGGUUGUUCGCCGCAGGACCCAGCGGAGGAAGUCCACCAUCACUGCUCUGCUCUUCGGGGAGGAUGACCUGGAGGCACUCAAGGCCAAGAACAUCAAGCAGACGGAACUGGUGGCUGACCUCAGGGAAGCCAUCCUGCGCGUGGCACGCCACUUCCAGUGCACAGACCCCAAAAACUGCAGUGUGGUGAGUCGCCAGCUCCCUGGGCUGCUACCAAACACGGCCCUAACUCCUCCAACCCCCUUGGUGGGCAUGUGUUCACUGUGGCAGGAGCUGACUCCAGACUAUAGCAUGGAGAGCCACCAGCGGGACCACGAGAACUACGUGGCGUGUUCACGCAGCCACCGGCGCCGAGCCAAGGCCCUGCUGGACUUUGAGCGGCACGACGAUGACGAGCUGGGCUUCCGCAAGAACGACAUCAUCACAAUCGUGUCUCAGAAGGACGAGCACUGCUGGGUGGGGGAGCUCAACGGCCUACGAGGCUGGUUUCCAGCCAAGUUCGUGGAAGUCCUGGAUGAGCGCAGCAAAGAGUACUCCAUCGCGGGGGACGACUCGGUGACGGAGGGCGUCACAGACCUCGUGCGAGGGACCCUCUGCCCGGCCCUUAAGGCCCUGUUCGAACAUGGACUGAAGAAGCCAUCCCUGCUUGGGGGCGCCUGCCACC
This 997-nucleotide small RNA is filed under the name Pongo abelii (Sumatran orangutan). Its description in RNAcentral is "retained intron". Lineage: Eukaryota; Metazoa; Chordata; Mammalia; Primates; Hominidae. The record is from RNAcentral.